This 450-nucleotide ribosomal RNA is filed under the name uncultured bacterium. RNAcentral describes it as "partial 16S ribosomal RNA". It matches the Rfam family "Bacterial small subunit ribosomal RNA", at positions 354 to 796 of the family's 1533-position model. The record is from RNAcentral.
GUGGGGAAUAUUGGACAAUGGGCGAAAGCCUGAUCCAGCCAUGCCGCGUGUGUGAAGAAGGUCUUCGGAUUGUAAAGCACUUUAAGUUGGGAGGAAGGGCAGUAAGUUAAUACCUUGCUGUUUUGACGUUACCGACAGAAUAAGCACCGGCUAACUUCGUGCCAGCAGCCGCGGUAAUACGAAGGGUGCAAGCGUUAAUCGGAAUUACUGUGCGUAAAGCGCGCGUAGGUGGUUUUGUAAGUUGGAGGUGAAAUCCCAGGGGUCAACCGGGGAACUGCCUCAAAAACUGCAUGACUAGAGGACGGUAGAGGGGAGUGGAAUUUCCUGUGUAGCGGUGAAAUGCGUAGAUAUAGGAAGGAACACCAGUGGCGAAGGCGACUACCUGGACUGAUACUGACACUGAGGUGCGAAAGCGUGGGGAGCAAACAGGAUUAGAAACCCCAGUAGUCC